RNAcentral lists this unclassified non-coding RNA (21 nucleotides) under Chlamydomonas reinhardtii. RNAcentral describes it as "small RNA Cre_1993". The record is from RNAcentral. Lineage: Eukaryota; Viridiplantae; Chlorophyta; Chlorophyceae; Chlamydomonadales; Chlamydomonadaceae.
GGUGUGUUUGUGGUGCAGCGG